RNAcentral lists this ribosomal RNA (301 nucleotides) under uncultured bacterium. Its description in RNAcentral is "partial 16S ribosomal RNA". It matches the Rfam family "Bacterial small subunit ribosomal RNA", at positions 509 to 807 of the family's 1533-position model. The record is from RNAcentral.
CAGUAGCCGCGGUAAUACGAAGGGUGCAAGCGUUAAUCGGAAUUACUGGGCGUAAAGCGCGCGUAGGUGGUUCAUUAAGUUGGAUGUGAAAGCCCUGGGCUCAACCUGGGAACUGCAUCCAAAACUGGUGAGCUAGAGUACGGUAGAGGGUAGUGGAAUUUCCUGUGUAGCGGUGAAAUGCGUAGAUAUAGGAAGGAACACCAGUGGCGAAGGCGACUACCUGGACUGAUACUGACACUGAGGUGCGAAAGCAUGGGGAACAAACAGGAUUAGAUACCCGCGUAGUCCCUGUCUCUUAUAC